RNAcentral lists this ribosomal RNA (254 nucleotides) under uncultured bacterium. RNAcentral's name for it is "partial 16S ribosomal RNA". It matches the Rfam family "Bacterial small subunit ribosomal RNA", at positions 100 to 353 of the family's 1533-position model. The record is from RNAcentral.
GACGGGUGAGUAACGCGUGGGUAACCUGCCUUAUACAGGGGGAUAACAGUUAGAAAUGACUGCUAAUACCGCAUAAGCGCACAGGAUUGCAUGAUCCGGUGUGAAAAACUCCGGUGGUAUAAGAUGGACCCGCGUCUGAUUAGCUUGUUGGUGAGGUAACGGCCCACCAAGGCGACGAUCAGUAGCCGACCUGAGAGGGUGACCGGCCACAUUGGGACUGAGACACGGCCCAGACUCCUACGGGAGGCAGCAUG